This 262-nucleotide long non-coding RNA is filed under the name Helianthus annuus (common sunflower). RNAcentral's name for it is "hypothetical non coding rna". The record is from RNAcentral. Lineage: Eukaryota; Viridiplantae; Streptophyta; Magnoliopsida; Asterales; Asteraceae.
UUACACUCGAACCCGAAGAAUAUAAACAUGUAAAAUGAUCAAGAUAUGCAUUGGGAGGUAGUGUACUUACACUCGAACCCGAAGAAUACAAAUAAGACUCUUAACAGGCCGAUUUUGUAAAACACCAAAUUUGAGAACGAAGUAGGAAUAUAAAAGUGAAACGAAUCAAAAGACUCGGAAUAUGAGUCAUGACUAAAAGAUGAUAAGAAUCUUCGCAAAUAUAAAUUUUGGUAAUUGCGUGAUGAAAAUUCACCUAAAAUGA